Small nucleolar RNA from Magnolia sinica, 107 nucleotides. NCBI's taxonomy places the organism in Eukaryota, Viridiplantae, Streptophyta, Magnoliopsida, Magnoliales, Magnoliaceae. The record is from RefSeq and is a predicted model, not a curated record.
AAAUCGUGUUGUAGGCAUGAAUUGAUAAGAUCCUUGAACCAAUCCCAACAUUGGAAGAAUGUUUCAUCUUUCUUUUGGGUGAAGUUCAUGAAUAAUUUUCUGAUGGU